Molecule: ribosomal RNA, 2213 nt
Filed under: Salmonella enterica
Lineage: Bacteria; Pseudomonadati; Pseudomonadota; Gammaproteobacteria; Enterobacterales; Enterobacteriaceae
Description: partial 23S ribosomal RNA
Rfam family: Bacterial large subunit ribosomal RNA
Source: RNAcentral
AGACCCGAAACCCGGUGAUCUAGCCAUGGGCAGGUUGAAGGUUGGGUAACACUAACUGGAGGACCGAACCGACUAAUGUUGAAAAAUUAGCGGAUGACCUGUGGCUGGGGGUGAAAGGCCAAUCAAACCGGGAGAUAGCUGGUUCUCCCCGAAAGCUAUUUAGGUAGCGCCUCGUGAAUUCAUCUCCGGGGGUAGAGCACUGUUUCGGCUAGGGGGCCAUCCCGGCUUACCAACCCGAUGCAAACUGCGAAUACCGGAGAAUGUUAUCACGGGAGACACACGGCGGGUGCUAACGUCCGUCGUGAAGAGGGAAACAACCCAGACCGCCAGCUAAGGUCCCAAAGUCAUGGUUAAGUGGGAAACGAUGUGGGAAGGCCCAGACAGCCAGGAUGUUGGCUUAGAAGCAGCCAUCAUUUAAAGAAAGCGUAAUAGCUCACUGGUCGAGUCGGCCUGCGCGGAAGAUGUAACGGGGCUAAACCAUGCACCGAAGCUGCGGCAGCGAACGUAUCACCCAAGACAACUUUACGGAGUUGACGAUUGACGGAGCGAAGCGACGUCAAAGCGUUCAUUAAAGUCGAGUUGGCUUAGGGAUACGUUCGUUGGGUAGGGGAGCGUUCUGUAAGCCUGUGAAGGUGUGUCGUGAGGCAUGCUGGAGGUAUCAGAAGUGCGAAUGCUGACAUAAGUAACGAUAAAGCGGGUGAAAAGCCCGCUCGCCGGAAGACCAAGGGUUCCUGUCCAACGUUAAUCGGGGCAGGGUGAGUCGACCCCUAAGGCGAGGCCGAAAGGCGUAGUCGAUGGGAAACGGGUUAAUAUUCCCGUACUUGGUGUUACUGCGAAGGGGGGACGGAGAAGGCUAUGUUGGCCGGGCGACGGUUGUCCCGGUUUAAGCGUGUAGGUGUGUGUUCCAGGUAAAUCCGGUUCACUUUAACACUGAGGCGUGACGACGAGGCACUACGGUGCUGAAGCAACAAAUGCCCUGCUUCCAGGAAAAGCCUCUAAGCAUCAGGUAACACGAAAUCGUACCCCAAACCGACACAGGUGGUCAGGUAGAGAAUACCAAGGCGCUUGAGAGAACUCGGGUGAAGGAACUAGGCAAAAUGGUGCCGUAACUUCGGGAGAAGGCACGCUGACACGUAGGUGAAGUGAUUUACUCAUGGAGCUGAAGUCAGUCGAAGAUACCAGCUGGCUGCAACUGUUUAUUAAAAACACAGCACUGUGCAAACACGAAAGUGGACGUAUACGGUGUGACGCCUGCCCGGUGCCGGAAGGUUAAUUGAUGGGGUCAGCGUAAGCGAAGCUCCUGAUCGAAGCCCCGGUAAACGGCGGCCGUAACUAUAACGGUCCUAAGGUAGCGAAAUUCCUUGUCGGGUAAGUUCCGACCUGCACGAAUGGCGUAAUGAUGGCCAGGCUGUCUCCACCCGAGACUCAGUGAAAUUGAACUCGCUGUGAAGAUGCAGUGUACCCGCGGCAAGACGGAAAGACCCCGUGAACCUUUACUAUAGCUUGACACUGAACAUUGAGCCUUGAUGUGUAGGAUAGGUGGGAGGCUUUGAAGUGUGGACGCCAGUCUGCAUGGAGCCGACCUUGAAAUACCACCCUUUAAUGUUUGAUGUUCUAACGUGGACCCGUAAUCCGGGUUGCGGACAGUGUCUGGUGGGUAGUUUGACUGGGGCGGUCUCCUCCUAAAGAGUAACGGAGGAGCACGAAGGUUGGCUAAUCCUGGUCGGACAUCAGGAGGUUAGUGCAAUGGCAUAAGCCAGCUUGACUGCGAGCGUGACGGCGCGAGCAGGUGCGAAAGCAGGUCAUAGUGAUCCGGUGGUUCUGAAUGGAAGGGCCAUCGCUCAACGGAUAAAAGGUACUCCGGGGAUAACAGGCUGAUACCGCCCAAGAGUUCAUAUCGACGGCGGUGUUUGGCACCUCGAUGUCGGCUCAUCACAUCCUGGGGCUGAAGUAGGUCCCAAGGGUAUGGCUGUUCGCCAUUUAAAGUGGUACGCGAGCUGGGUUUAGAACGUCGUGAGACAGUUCGGUCCCUAUCUGCCGUGGGCGCUGGAGAACUGAGGGGGGCUGCUCCUAGUACGAGAGGACCGGAGUGGACGCAUCACUGGUGUUCGGGUUGUCAUGCCAAUGGCACUGCCCGGUAGCUAAAUGCGGAAGAGAUAAGUGCUGAAAGCAUCUAAGCACGAAACUUGCCCCGAGAUGAGUUCUCCCUGAGA